RNAcentral lists this long non-coding RNA (440 nucleotides) under Trifolium pratense (red clover). RNAcentral's name for it is "long non-coding RNA (TPRA_LNC003063)". Lineage: Eukaryota; Viridiplantae; Streptophyta; Magnoliopsida; Fabales; Fabaceae. The record is from RNAcentral.
AUAACAGAACAUAAAUAUAAAACAGAAUUUGCUAUUAAAACAGACCUCAAGAAUUUAAAACGAGUUCCUUGCACCAACGAAUUGAAAGAAAGAUUUAGUUCUCCAUGUAAGUGGUGGCUGCUCUAGGGUUUCUUAUUUCCAUGAACAGUGAAUGACUAACCCUAGCUGCCUUAUUUUCGGUUUAAAUAAUACAUGGAACGGGCCUUAAAACAAUUGGGCCGAAAAAUAUAAAGUUGUGCUGAAUUAAAUUCGUCUGGAACAUAAACGCAGUUAUUUGACACACUUGCGCUCCGAACUGGGUUUUGGCCUCAACAUGAAAAUCGUAGCUCUUGAUCUCAGCUUUCCAACGCAUCUUCUCGCGCCUCAAUCCGAUAUUUGUAACUCCAGUUAUGACCUGCGGACCGGAAGGGUGUCAAAGUGCUAUUUAUUCAUAAAUUAAG